RNA transcript from Mandrillus leucophaeus (drill), 375 nucleotides. It is a transcript of the gene named 60S ribosomal protein L37 pseudogene, with no coding region annotated. NCBI's taxonomy places the organism in Eukaryota, Metazoa, Chordata, Mammalia, Primates, Cercopithecidae. The record is from RefSeq and is a predicted model, not a curated record. The transcript has a single exon.
UGGUCUCGGCUGCAGAAGCGACAUGACGAAGGGAACGUCAUCGUUUGGAAAGCGUCGCAAUAAGACGCACACAUUGUGCCGCCGCUGUGGCUCUAAGGCCUACCACCUUCAGAAGUCGACCUGUGGCAAAUGUGGCUACCCUGCCAAGCGCAAGAGAAGGUAUAACUGGAGUGCCAAGGCUAAAAGACGAAAUACCACCGGAACUGAUCGAAUGAGGCACCUAAAAAUUGUAUACCGCAGAUUCAGGCAUGGAUUCCGUGAAGGAACAACACUUAAACCCAAGAGGGCAGCUGUUGCAGCAUCUAGUUCAUCUUAAGAAUGUCAACGAUUAGUCAGGCAAUAAAUGUUCUGGUUUUAAAAAAUACAAAAAAAAAA